RNAcentral lists this non-coding RNA (29 nucleotides) under Rattus norvegicus (Norway rat). The record is from RNAcentral. Lineage: Eukaryota; Metazoa; Chordata; Mammalia; Rodentia; Muridae.
UGGUCAUUAUUGGAUGGCAUAAGUGCUUC